RNAcentral lists this small RNA (129 nucleotides) under Enterobacter cloacae. RNAcentral describes it as "istR Hfq binding RNA". It matches the Rfam family "istR Hfq binding RNA". Lineage: Bacteria; Pseudomonadati; Pseudomonadota; Gammaproteobacteria; Enterobacterales; Enterobacteriaceae. The record is from RNAcentral.
GUCAAAAUCCGUGCCGGAAUUGCGCGUUCGUCUUCGAUCGCAUAUACUUCGUGCGUUGACGUAACACAGUGUGUUCUGCGGCAACCAACCGCAAAACCCUGAAAAAACCUCGCUCCGGCGGGGUUUUUU